Molecule: long non-coding RNA, 324 nt
Organism: Leptinotarsa decemlineata (Colorado potato beetle)
Lineage: Eukaryota; Metazoa; Arthropoda; Insecta; Coleoptera; Chrysomelidae
Source: RefSeq, a predicted model, not a curated record
UUGGUCAGAUGGAUCUAUAAAAUACCUACUACCUGAGGUACAAUAAUUGUAGCUUUUCUGUUCUCUUUCCACAACUGAAUCAAGGCGUUUAGAAAUGUGGUUUCUGCUAGCUUUAUCGGCAUUGUUUUUUUCUGCCAACGGUUAAGGCCGCUAUGACAACCAACCCGUGAGACAACCAUACCUGGUCACCCCUAGCCUUUUUCCAAAUUAGUCUUUAAGGAUACAGAAAACAAAACCUAUGAAAUGGAAAUUUCAUAACAAUUUUGUGGUGAAAUAUUCAGCAACAAGGGUUAUAUUUCUAGGAGUGAUUCAUUUUUGGGAAAG